RNAcentral lists this ribosomal RNA (553 nucleotides) under Bifidobacterium pseudocatenulatum. Its description in RNAcentral is "bacterial SSU rRNA". It matches the Rfam family "Bacterial small subunit ribosomal RNA", at positions 146 to 711 of the family's 1533-position model. Lineage: Bacteria; Bacillati; Actinomycetota; Actinomycetes; Bifidobacteriales; Bifidobacteriaceae. The record is from RNAcentral.
UCUCCUGGAAACGGGUGGUAAUGCCGGAUGCUCCGACUCCUCGCAUGGGGUGUCGGGAAAGAUUUCAUCGGUAUGGGAUGGGGUCGCGUCCUAUCAGGUAGUCGGCGGGGUAACGGCCCACCGAGCCUACGACGGGUAGCCGGCCUGAGAGGGCGACCGGCCACAUUGGGACUGAGAUACGGCCCAGACUCCUACGGGAGGCAGCAGUGGGGAAUAUUGCACAAUGGGCGCAAGCCUGAUGCAGCGACGCCGCGUGCGGGAUGACGGCCUUCGGGUUGUAAACCGCUUUUGAUCGGGAGCAAGCCUUCGGGUGAGUGUACCUUUCGAAUAAGCACCGGCUAACUACGUGCCAGCAGCCGCGGUAAUACGUAGGGUGCAAGCGUUAUCCGGAAUUAUUGGGCGUAAAGGGCUCGUAGGCGGUUCGUCGCGUCCGGUGUGAAAGUCCAUCGCUUAACGGUGGAUCUGCGCCGGGUACGGGCGGGCUGGAGUGCGGUAGGGGAGACUGGAAUUCCCGGUGUAACGGUGGAAUGUGUAGAUAUCGGGAAGAACGCCA